This 449-nucleotide ribosomal RNA is filed under the name uncultured bacterium. RNAcentral describes it as "partial 16S ribosomal RNA". It matches the Rfam family "Bacterial small subunit ribosomal RNA", at positions 29 to 523 of the family's 1533-position model. The record is from RNAcentral.
AAUGAACGCUGGCGGCAGGCCUAACACAUGCAAGUCGAACGAGGCAGCAAUGCCUAGUGGCGGACGGGUGAGUAACGCGUGGGAACGUGCCCCUUGGUACGGAAUAGCCCUGGGAAACUGGGAGUAAUACCGUAUGUGGUCGAGAGACGAAAGAUUUAUCGCCAAGGGAUCGGCGCGCGUUGGAUUAGGUAGUUGGUGGGGGAAUGGCCUACCAAGCCGACGAUCCAUAGCUGGUGUGAGAGGAUGAUCAGCAACACUGGGACUGAGACACGGCCCAGACUCCUACGGGAGGCAGCAGUGGGGAAUCUUAGGCAAUGGGGGAAACCCUGAUCUAGCCAUGCCGCGUGAUCGAUGAAGGCCUUAGGGUUGUAAAGAUCUUUCAGUGGGGAAGAUAAUGACGGUACCCACAGAAGAAGCCCCGGCUAACUCCGUGCCAGCCGCCGCCGUAC